GGAGUCGGUGUCCCGAUGAAUGGAUUCGAGUUGCCGGGAAGGGCUCGGUGUGCCGGCAGAGGGAAAGCUGGUUAAGGGAUAAAGAUGCAGAGGAACAACUGUUGUAAACCCCCCUCGCUCUCUGACUGAGCAAACCUUCCAGUAAUCCCAGUGCAUCUCUCUGAGAGACUCUGGGAUCAUAAGGUCUUCCAGGAAAGCAAGGACAGAGAUGAGGGAAUAGGCUUCUAAUUGAUAAUUGUUUGAUGGGUGUAGGAAUGAUUCCUGUAUGCUUGACGCUCCCCUUUAAAAUCCUGGUAUAAUUUAAAAAUGAUUUCUUUAACAAAUGAUCUAAAUUUGAGAAUUUAAAUGUGAGAGGAAAUAGUGCAAAAUAAAUGAGAGAUCAUGGAAUCCCAAAAUGGUUUGAGUGGGAAGGGUCUUUAAGGAUCACCUCAUUCCAUCCCCUGCCAUUCCACCCACAGCCCAGGGUGCUCCAAGCCCCCUCCAGCCUGGCCUUGGACACUUCCAGGGAUGGAGCAGCCACGAUUUCUCUGGGUUGAUGGGCACAGGAGGAAAUUUCCAGCAGGAGCUGAGGUGUUUCCUUUGCUCUGCCCAGCCCCAGCAGGGCUGUGGGAGGCAGAGGAUGUGGGAGCAGGAGCUUUGCCCACGGCCUCGGGGAGGCUCUGCUGUCCCAACCCCAGCAGAGCAGACGUUUGUGGUUUCACAUCCCGUUCAAAGGAGCUGCCAAGGCAGGAACGGGGAUGGGCCGCGGAGCAGGGAUGGUGCCAGGCACAGGGUGACAUCCAGAGGGUGCCACCAGUCCGUCCCUGCUGCCCAGGCUGGGCACCAGCAGGCUGGUGACUGUCCCUGUGUUUGCUCUGCAGGAUGAGGAAGCCAGCCCUGGCGAGGAGGAGGAUGAGGAGGUGUGGGAGGAUGGAGACAGCGGCCCCCAAAGGCUGGGGAAGGCCCAGGUCCAGAGAAAACCUGCCAAGGAAUAAAGCGAGAGCUUCCCCGGUGAACACCUUCCCAGUCCCACGCUGGGUUUGCACACACACAAGGCUCCAUCCCUGCUGGAAUCCCAGUCACAGCCCCCAGAUCAAUGUGCCCUUUAAGGUCUCACAGCCUGACCAGGACAAUCUCCUGCCUCUGGACAGGGAAAAUCAGUUUUUCAUUGUUACAGCACCGGCUCCAGAAUCCUCUGAGGCUGAAACAAAGACAUGGAACCUUCUGAGAUGGAAAGAGCCAAAGUGAGUUGUUGUGGGAAAGGAAAAUUAAAGACGGUAAGCGCUAAAACCUUUGUUCUUCCUGACCUCUGUACUUGACCUUUGUACCUGGAAAUGGGUCAGCUCUGGAAAUUUCCUGGAGACACUGGAGAAUGAUCCCUGGUCUGCUGAAAAGUGGGAAAAUCCCACUGGCAAUUGCAGUCCCUGAGGGAGGGAAAAAAGAGCAGGACCUCAGACUCUGAGUGUGUGAGAAAUAACGGAGGGACAAAUGUCUGGAUCAUCCUGAGCCUCAGGGCACCAGGAAAAGCCCUUGACUGGAAAACUGAAGUGCUGUUCCCCAGGCACCCUGGGAAUUGGGCUCAUCCCAGCUUCUUUUCCAGAGCUGGAGGAAUGCCCCACAGUGCUGUUUGAGACCUUCCUGACUGGAACUGGGGCCAACUGGGCACUUUCCUGUUUUCCUGUAGGAUGUGGGCCGUGACAUGAAUAGGCUCCAACAGGGCCCUGGGGUCUGUGGCAUGGACAACUCCCAGAGCCAGACAGGGAAGGGGACCUUCACCCACACUCCCAAAAAGCUGAGAAGGAAAAACACCUGCCUGCAGCUCCUGGAGCUCUGGGGUUUCUGCUGCACUCAGGGACGUGGGAUAAUGCCAGAAUAAUUCAAACCUUGAGAAUAAUGGAAUUAAUACCACCCCUUGAGCCCAUCGGCCACUGGCUGCAGAUGGCUGUGGAAGUGAUGGAGGCAUUCAGGGAAUGCUGAUUGUUUUACCCUCCCUUUGGCAAUCUGGUCAGCAAAAAUACUAAUUGAGCUCUUCCAGCAAGGAAACAUUUAAGCAAGAGGUGCUGAAAAGAAUUGGAGUUUCUGAUUUUAAGUCUCCAACUUAAAAAUCCUCUUUGGAUUGUCACUGGUCCAACUUCCAUGGACUGGUCACUGUGGCCAGGAGUGCCCAGUCCUGCUGGAAAUGCACUGGACCAGGAUGUCAUUUUCAUUUUAUGCUGGUAAAGACCCUCUGGGUGACCCCCAGUGACUGGAAGGACCAGACUGGGCUCCCAGGGCACUAAUUCCAGGGGUUCUGGUUUUGGGAAUAGCACAGGAGCCGCUCCCUUGCCCAGAGGAGCAGCUAGUGCCUUCCUUAGUCCACAAAUCCCCAGGACUGACCACAGAGGAAAUAGCAGGAAUGUGGAAAUCCCCCACACUGGGAGUUUGUGGUGCUCUGGAUUACAUUUUGGAUUUAUACUGUUAAAGGGGGACUGUGGAAUGGCUUCUCUCCUUUUUAUUGUCACUGUUGUCACUGCUUUUGUUGCUAUCACUGUUAUAUGCUGUCAUCAAUAUUAAAUUAUUAUAUUUGUCUUGGUUUCCAUUAUUAAAGUGUUCUGAGCUGGA
This is a long non-coding RNA of Haemorhous mexicanus (house finch), 2580 nucleotides long. RefSeq lists it as uncharacterized. The record is from RefSeq and is a predicted model, not a curated record. The transcript is spliced from 3 exons. NCBI's taxonomy places the organism in Eukaryota, Metazoa, Chordata, Aves, Passeriformes, Fringillidae.